This 933-nucleotide long non-coding RNA is filed under the name Pogona vitticeps (central bearded dragon). Its description in RNAcentral is "lncRNA (ENSPVIG00000002338.1)". Lineage: Eukaryota; Metazoa; Chordata; Lepidosauria; Squamata; Agamidae. The record is from RNAcentral.
AUAAAUCCACACUUCAAGAUAUUUCAUGUAUCUUGAAACCCCAUUAGAGUUGCAUAAUUCAGAGACAACUUGAUGGUGCAUAGCAGCUACCAAUGAAAACAAACUAGAGCAACACUUCUACGUUCACCUUUUGUUCAAGCAUCUCUUGGAGAAGGACAUGGAUCUUCCAGCUAGUUCUCCAAAAGAAAAGACUCCAGCUUAUGAAAAUGUGGGCUGAUGUCGCCUGCAAGCAGAGGCUUAAAAUAAUGGUGUCAAAAAGAAUCAGAGAGUCUCAUUUUCACACCACAGAACCAGCACUCCAGUCCCUUUAGGUCCAUGGCUCACCUGAAUGCUUCUGCAGAAAAGAGGAAAAGACUGACUGGCUGGAUAUGUACAGUACAAAAAAUCGAGGGUGGGGAGCUUUGUCCCAAAGGCAGGCAGAGGAAGAAGUCUUCUGUGCCUCACUAAAGACGACUCAAUCAAAAGCUUCAAGAGGUCAAACUACACUGAAGCCCAGUAAAGAUUCUGUGGCUGAAUUUUUUUCAAGCUACUUCCACUGCAGAAUAGAAACAGGAUAUUUAACAGCUCCGGGCAUUUUUGAGCCAAGGUCUUAUUGCUGCAUAUAUAGGAUUCUGCUGCCGGCAUCAGUGACUGAGCAGCUGCAGGGAUGUUCUUUUCCUCCGUGUGACAUUGAUAAAUGACCUGCAGGAAUGCUUAACAAGGUUUGGAAUAUUGUCUUACUCCCAUGGACAACAAUUCUGCAUGUAUUCUAGCAAGAGUCUUUUUUAAAAAGUCAGGGGAUUUAAGCUGUUAUAUCUCACCUCGUUUUCUGUGAUACUGGAGCAGAAAUCAGACCAGCCCCCAAUUAAAAUCUAUAGCACAGCAAUUGUAAACUCACACAAUUUGCUUUGUGAAUUCAAUAAAAGGUAUUUUAAUUUUAUUAUUAUUAUUUGC